UUUUUAAUUAAAUAUCUGAAAUGAAGGAAGACACACAACAUCCCCUAAGUAUUUAACAUUAACCAAUCUUGAUCAGACAGAUUGCGAAAAGAAAUAAAUUAUUUCCAGAUUGGGAUCGAGUCAGAUAAUGAUCAACUCCCUUCCUUUGCCUGACCUGUAAUUCCCCACCCCACCAUCAGCUCUUGCAGCAGCAAGCACUGUCCUUCACAUGUUGCUGAGCUCUGUGAAACAACAGGGGAAAGACUUCCUGUGAGGGACUUGAUCUCCAUUUCCAGGUGCAGUGCCCAGCAGCAAGGAUGUUGGGCACGCCACACCGCGCCUUUCCUAAGCUCCCCCACCCACAGUUGUUGCUGCCAAACUCUGUGUGCUCAUCUGAUACACGAAGGGGAAGCUGGCCUCUCCCUGACCUCUAAAAACACAGACACUGAGUGUAACUGGAGGCUGUACCUGUGUUGUCGGUUAUUGGCUUUAAGUUUGUCAAGUUUUCCAGGACAAGGAAGAGUAGCACCAAAUUACAUGUGGGAUUGUGGCUGCAGUUGCCCCAUGUAACUGUCAAAGGUAUGGCUGGAGAACAUACAUCUUGGUGGGCCGGGCCAGCUACUGCUAUUCCUCUUCAUGUCUUAGCUGGGGUGAAGGCCAAGUGUGUCUGACGGGCAGUCCUAUUCACCAAGAUAUACCCUGUUCUCUGGAGACAGAUGGUCAGCAUGGAGAGACCUGAACAGCUGCAGUCUGCAUGUGCAGAGCACCAUCCUGUGCCAUCACAAGUGGGAUUCACUUCACCUCACUACAGGCAUCCCACCUUCCUCUCCCCCAGCCACUGCCAUGUUUACCAGCUCUGAUCAGGGAGCAGCAGCCACGAGAAGGAGGAGCUUCAUCCAGGAACAUCCAAGGUAUUCCAGUGGCAUAUGUCACUGCUUUGUGGUGGAGCUGGGAAUGCAACUGUGGUAGAAGAACCAUGUUUUAUAGCAUUUAAAAAUAGCUUGAAAGCAACACUAGAGAAUGUGCAAAGACUGAGCCUGUGUGAGAAGGAAGCUGGUUUAAAUGAGUCACUUGGUCCAUCUCUGACUUUUUCACGUUUUCCUAAGCAUUUUUAAAAGGCAAUCUCUGUACUUGGUUUUCCUCCAAAUGCCUACAUAUCCACCUCUUCAUUCAUUCUUCUGAAGUGGAACUUAACAGUUCACAGAAAGUAGCUUUUGCUUUGGAAGAGCGAGAAAAGGUCAUAAUUUAUGUUGUGCUUCAAGAUCUCCCCAUCUUUGGUAUGCACUAAUGAAUGUAAGAGCUAGAGGAGGGUGAGACAGAAAAUAGCUCUAAAAAUCAGACUUGUAGGCAUCCUCCCCAGUAACCUGAAAAAAAGCACAGAGCAACAGGUCCUUUGGUGUAAAGAAUGAAACUGGAUUUAGCUGGGUGGCUGAAGGUACCAGUGCUCUAGGGUGUAUUUCAGAUAAGUUGUGCCUUUAAAAGCAGCUGGAGAGAUAGAAGAGAAUGACUGAAAAAUCAAACACCAGUCAACUCACUCCUUGCUGAGCUCCUAGAGCAGAAGUAAGUUUCAGCAGCUGUGGAAAGACUGACAGUCAAGAAAAGAAGAGAGGCACCAUCAUUCUCUGCCCUGGAAGUGAGAAGAUUCCGGUUGUGCAAGGAUGAAGUGCAUACACAAGUGGGUCCUUUUCCAGCAGAGGUUUUCUUCUUCAAUAACUAAGGCAUGACAUAGUUAGAUACUCUAGUGGCUCCAUCCAGCUUAGCUGUAGACUUGGUUGAAGUCAUCUAGAAUAAGGAAAUGUUUCUCUGUGGAACAUUUUGGGUUUCAUUAUAUUAAUAAAUAUGAAAUUAAUAAUAUUAAUAUUAAUAAC
Numida meleagris (helmeted guineafowl) is the source of this 1847-nucleotide long non-coding RNA. Lineage: Eukaryota; Metazoa; Chordata; Aves; Galliformes; Numididae. The record is from Ensembl.